RNAcentral lists this transfer-messenger RNA (359 nucleotides) under chicken gut metagenome. It matches the Rfam family "transfer-messenger RNA". From Rfam's summary of the family: Bacterial tmRNA, also known as 10Sa RNA or SsrA, is named for its dual tRNA and mRNA-like properties. Its role is to liberate the mRNA from a stalled ribosome. The record is from RNAcentral.
GGGGGUGUAAAUGGUUUCGACAGUUUUUUAGAAGUAUUUAUAGCGAGUAGUGGAUGGUUGCUUUGGCCACUUAAAAUCAAGCAAAUUAAAUAUAAAGGCUAACGAUAGAGAAUUAGCUUACGCUGCUGCUUAAGUAACAGCGUCGUCUUACCCAAGAGCCUACUGCUUGGAAUAAGGCGUCGAUUAAAGUAGGAAACGAAGUUGCUUAUUCCACUUAAGCAAUGGGUAAUUUAAAUGGAUAUGAAUAAAAUGCUUUGUUCAUUUGCUAUUUUAUUUAGAAUUUUAAAAAUGAACUGCACUCGGAGAAGUAAAUAUGGAAAAAUAAUUGGACGCGAGUUCAACUCUCGCCACCUCCACCA